UUCCGGUUGAUCCUGCCGGACCCGACUGCUAUUUGGGUGAGGAUAAGCCAUGCGAGUCGAAUGGGAUGCCCAAAAUUCCCAUGGCAAACUGCUCAGUAACACAUGAUCAACUUACCCUAUAGAGAAAAAUAACCUCGGGAAACUGAGGAUAAUGUUUCAUAAUUGAAUCGGCUUGGAAAAGUUUUUCAAUUAAAAGAAUAAGAAAAAUGGUUCUUGUUCGCUAUAGGAUAGGAUCGUGGACGAUUAUGGUUGUUGGUGAGGUAACGGCUCACCAAGCCGAUAAUCGAUAGGGGCCGUGAGAGCGGGAGCCCCGAGAUGGGUACUGAGACAACGACCCAGGCCUUACGAGGCGCAGCAGGCGCGAAACCUCCGCAAUACACGAAAGUGUGACGGGGUUACCCAAAGUGUUCAUUAGAACUGUGGUAGGUGAGUAAUGUUCCCUACUAGAAAGGAGAGGGCAAGGCUGGUGCCAGCCGCCGCGGUAAAACCAGCUCUUCAAGUGGUCGGGAUAAUUAUUGGGCUUAAAGUGUCCGUAGCCGGUUUAGUAAGUUCCUGGUAAAAUCGGGUAGCUUAACUAUCUAUAUGCUAGGAAUACUACUAUACUAGAGGGCGGGAGAGGUCUGAGGUACUACAGGGGUAGGGGUGAAAUCUUAUAAUCCUUGUUGGACCACCAGUGGCGAAGGCGUCAGACUGGAACGCGCCUGACGGUGAGGGACGAAAGCCAGGGGAGCGAACCGGAUUAGAUACCCGGGUAGUCCUGGCCGUAAACGAUGCAUACUAGGUGAUGGCACGGCCAUGAGCCGUGUCAGUGCCGUAGGGAAACCGUUAAGUGUGCCGCCUGGGAAGUACGGUCGCAAGGCUAAAACUUAAAGGAAUUGGCGGGGGAGCACCACAAGGGGUGAAGCCUGCGGUUCAAUUGGACUCAACGCCGGU
RNAcentral lists this ribosomal RNA (933 nucleotides) under uncultured archaeon. RNAcentral's name for it is "bacterial SSU rRNA". It matches the Rfam family "Archaeal small subunit ribosomal RNA", at positions 1 to 922 of the family's 1478-position model. The record is from RNAcentral.